UACGUAGGGGGCAAGCGUUGUCCGGAUUUAUUGGGCGUAAAGAGCGUGUAGGCGGUUUGGUAGGUCCGUUGUGAAAACUCGGAGGCUCAACCUCGAGACGCCGAUGGAAACCAUCAGACUAGAGUCCGGAAGAGGAGAGUGGAAUUCCUGGUGUAGCGGUGAAAUGCGCAGAUAUCAGGAAGAACACCCGUGGCUAAGGCGGCUCUCUAGUACGGUACUGACGCUGAGACGCGAAAGCGUGGGGAGCGAACAGG
Molecule: ribosomal RNA, 254 nt
Filed under: uncultured bacterium
Lineage: Bacteria
Description: partial 16S ribosomal RNA
Rfam family: Bacterial small subunit ribosomal RNA
Source: RNAcentral